UAAAGUUCACUUUCCACCUCUUAUUCUUCUUGGUCCCUUUAUUUGGUAUCUAAGUCUUUCUGCUGCUCUGUCUUUUCUCUAUGUUCUCUUUCUUUCUAUCUUUCCGUGAAUUGAUCCUUUCUCUAUGGUAUUCCCAUAGACUUAUAUCAUAUCCGUCAGUUGUCAGGCCUCCAGUCACUCUAUCUCUGCACUUGUUGGUCAUGUCCUGCUUUUGUUUACUUCCACCCUCCCAGUCUUUGCCCUCUUCUGCCCUCAGUUUGCAUCCACUUUUUGUCUCCUCCUCCCUUGUCAGGUUUUCUUCCUGCCAAGUUGGCAGACUUUCCUUUCUUUCGUUGCUAAAGCUGUUUGUUUAUGAAGAAGCUACAGUCUUAGACUAAACAAUGCUUUCAAGGUCAGCCUUCUACUGACUACAAAGACAAUAUUUACUAAAAUGCUAAAAACAAAACAGCCUAGUAACUGAAUCAACAGCAUUUUUAAAAAUCAACAUAAAAGCAUGGAGCAGAGUAAUUCCCCUCUGAGCAGAGCAGCAGGGAGGAAGUUACGCUGCCUGAGAAGGGAUUCUAGCAGCAUCUUCACUGGUUGUGAAGAACGCGUUCCAAAGAGGCCAUCAGAUAAAUUGGCCAAGAUGUACAAGGCAGAGUGAGUACUCAAAACCAGAGCUUCUUGGCUGGCUCCUGAAAAUGGGGGAGACCCUCCUCCAUGAUCCAUCCCAGUGGAGGACACCAACUAAAGCUCCAGGAUUGUCCAGCAGUUUUAUUUGCUUUUGCAAGUAGGUGGUACCUUUGGCUAAGAUCACACAUUCCUCACUGACAAAGGCAGAGGUACCAGCCAGCCAAGGAGAGGCUUCCAGGGCCUUUAUUCUGGCUAUGGUCUCUGUCCUGUGUGAUUAAUGUGUAUUUUAUAGAAAUGCUUUGAUGUGCAUCUUUGAUGGAACUGCAUUUUAAUGUGUUCACAGAAUUUUAUAUAGUAUUUGUGUUUUUGACUGUGCUGUAACCCACCUUGAGCCAUGAGAAGAGGGGGGUAAGAAAUAAAAUUAUUAUUAUUAUUA
This is a long non-coding RNA of Anolis carolinensis (green anole), 1048 nucleotides long. RefSeq lists it as uncharacterized. NCBI's taxonomy places the organism in Eukaryota, Metazoa, Chordata, Lepidosauria, Squamata, Anolidae. The record is from RefSeq and is a predicted model, not a curated record. The transcript is spliced from 3 exons.